CGAGCGCGCGCAGCCCGCGGGCCCCCCCCCUCCCGGACCGCUACCCAGGUUCUACUCUCUCAUCAUUUCCCUGGCCUGUACUUCCUCUCGAGAAGUCGGUCCGAGUCGAGGCUAGUCCGAGUCCAUGGCCGAUUGAAGUAACGAAUCGCGAUCGGAGACGGAGGCAUAGAUGUAGUGUUCUGUAUAAAGGGAGGGCCGAAGAGAACGAUUGAUUCGAAGUUCGUUCUGGAUCUGGGUCUAAUCUAAUUGAACAACUAUUCUGGUUUCCAGAUCCGAUUGGGGAGAAAGGCCCGGCCUUUUUCACUAUUACGCCGGCGGAAACUCGGCGGCGCGAUGGCAGACUCCGGGCGGAAGCGUCAAUGUGGUGCUUUUGCCACUUCCGUAGCCUGCAAGCGCCGGGCGCAUGGCCGGGACUGGACGUCUCUCCCCUCGGACAUUACCAACGUCAUCGCCGAGCGGCUGCUGGCGGAGGACGUGGUUGACUACAUGAGCCUACGUUCCGUGUGCGCGCCUUGGCGCGCCUCGACGGCUAGCCCGCGCGACCCCACGCUACGGGACGUUCGCUUCCGCCCGCGCGGUUGGGUUGCUCUCUGCGACGGUGAUGGCGUCCGCCCGGCCGACGCCUGCCAGGUCAACUUCUUCCACACGUCCACCAGCAGGCGCCUCCGCGUUCGCCUGCCAGAGCUACACGACCACAGGAUCGUCGGAUUCACGGACGGCCUCCUCAUCCUGCUCAACAAAAGCACCACCGCCGUCCGUGUCCUGCACCCGUUCACUCGCGUCUUCCUCGACCUCCCUCCGCUUGCCCCCGUUUUUCAUCUCCUGGUGAAGGACAUCUGGUCAAGAGCAUGGAUGGAAGCCGCGGUUUGCUGGUCUUGCACAUCCAUUGCGGUUGUUGCCUGGUUCCCCAAUGUUCCGGUGGUGGUCCAUGCGGAGCCGACUCGUCCACGCUGGUGUGUUAUCUACCGUGGCCUUCAGCUCUGGACCGCCUUACCAUUCCAAGGCAGGCUAUUCGGCAUUAGAAAAGAUACCAGGCAGAUCAUUCAGCUGUACCCUCACCUGCCAUAUCCCGUGGUUGCUUGCAUCCCAAACAGUUUUGGCCGUCCCAACAUGUGUGAUUACUAUCUCGUGGACUUUGGGGGACGCAUGCUGCUCGCUGUUCAGCAUCGCAUCAUCGACCAGUGCUUGGAAGGGUGGCAGCCCUUCGCCUUCGCCUUCUUCUUGGUUAAUGUACACCAGAGAGAGCUUGUUCCAGUGGACAGUCUUGGUGAUAGAGCAAUCUUCCUUAACAAAGAUCGUUGCCUGUGUGUUUCGGCCAAGGACCUCCCAUCCAUCAGUGGCAAUUCUGUUUACUUCUCCCUGCACACAACUGACCCUGUUGCGGUGCAUUCACUAAGCAAGCGAACGUGUGAGCGGACAUCGACAUUCUCCCUCAUUCACAACUUCAAGGAGAGGAUUCGGCCCUCUGUAAGGCCUUUCACCCUGGCUGAUCAUCUGCUGUCGUAUUGCCACCAUGUUCAGUGGUCAAAAGGAUUUAUGUUUCACGAGUACUUUAGCUACCUGCAUCUUGGAAGAAGAUGGUGAGGAAACUGAAAUCACAAGAUCAGGAAAUCCAAGUCCCAUUCAUGAUUAGGGAGAAAACAGAGGGAAGAUUGAGGUCCAGCGAUAUGAAGAAUAGUCCCCCUUGUUCAUUUUUUCUUAGCAGCACGGCAGCGUCUCCGUCGAGCAACACUCCCAAUCGAGCACCACUCCCAAUCGAGCACCAGCAAGCGGCAUGCCCACGCUGGCCACAAAUGCAACACCCAGGAAGACGAACACUUGGUUGCACGCGACAUGCUACAAGAUGUUCUCGUACGCAUCCUCCUCGCCUCGGACCUCGGCUCGUCUCCUCGAACUCGGCCGUACGAGAACAGCAGGACGGUCCUGGACGGAGGCAGCCGAAUCGGCACAACGCAAGGGGCGGUGCUGAUGGUCACCUCCAACGCCGGCGCCCCUGGCUCGGGAUAGGCAGAGCACGAGAGGAGCAGCUGAACAUGACAUGGUAGGGGUUGCCAUCCAUGGUGGCACCGCCGUGAGGGCACCUCCGCCCGCGCCCGCCACCGCCAGAGGCAGGGAAGGAGAAGCCGGCGGCGCCGGAGACUGGGGAGAAGAAGAACGGGAGCUCGCCGACGGGAUGGCAUCUCUCAGCGCCGGCGCUGCCGCGAGGCUUGCGGUCUUCCGGACGGUGGGGUUGCGGGCGCGGUGGCUCUUGCCCGCCGGCCAUGGCGCGCGAGAGAAAGUGCCAGCGCGAGAGGGGAGACAGUUAGCAAUGAUGUAAAAAGUUUGAGUGCAAAGGUAACAGAUGUGGAAACUGAAGUUCAACAAAUCCAAUCUCUUUACUCCUCGAUGUCAUCAAUGAUUAAUCAACUAAAUGUAUCAGUCAAUGUAUGUAUAGAGCACACUUGUUUUUCUUUGAGUCACUAGCUGUUUACUGGCUAAAGUCUUAACUGUUUUUCUCUUCGUGCAGGCUUUGUUGUCCCGCAUAUCCCAAUCACCCUUUGCCGACGUUGAUAAUACCAGUAAUCAAUAAAUUAGGUUUCUUAAUUCAGAACCCAAUCUUCAAAAUUAUAUGCUGGUUAUUUAUGUCCACACACUAUCCACCUAUGUACAUAGGUUUUUAGCACGUAAUUUGGAAUUCGUUUGGCCAUGAUUACAUCUUAUUGGUGGGUACCGUUGACUUUCCAGGAAUACAUUUAUUAUUGACUGCUUGUUAGUAGUAAUCCUGCAUAUCACUUUUUUUAAAUGAUCCUACAUAUCACUUCUAUCGUCCACUUCUAUCACAUCACUCAAAUGAUGUUUGACUACACCAAAACCAUAUAACCCUAAUACGUGCUAUGCUAUUAUUGUUUAAUGCAGAUCAUUGGAUGACAUAACACAAGUCACGUAGGCUGAUACUAUACCUGAACAAUCGGGAGCAAGUUGUAGAUACGAGCUAGAGCUGCCGUAGCCGAGUUAUCUUAUUUUUUCUCUGACAAGACUGAAUUGGUGCUUUUGCAUAUGCAACCGGAUCGUGAGAGUUUUAGAUGCAAAAACUCACCCCUAAAACAGGCAUACUAGUUUUUUUGAAAAAAAAGGCAUACGCAACCUGAUUCUGAGAGUUUAGAAGGAAGGGUUCACAUCUGAAACAAUUGGAUAGGAUUCACUUUUGGUAGUAAAGUGUUCAGAUAAUAUGUUCAUUCGAUAUGGAUAUUUCUCUGUGAUUGUUUUUUAUUCAUUUGUUUCUAGCUCGUGUACUUGCAAAAGCUUAUUAGUCAGUAGCUCGCAUCACAUACUGUGGCAAAUGCCCGGUGGCUCUUGCAAAUGACUCUCAGGAUCAGGUUGCGUAUACCUUUUUUUUAAACUAGUAUGCCUGUUUCAGAGGUGAGUUUGUGCAUCUAAAACUCUCGCGAUCCGGUUGCAUAUGCAAAAGCACCAAUUCAGUCUUGUCAGAGAAAAAAUGAGAUAACUCAGCUACGGCAGCUCUAGCUCCUAUCUACAACUUGCUCCUGAUUGUUCGGGUGCAGUACCAGCCUGCGUGACUUGUGUUAUGUCAUCUAAUGAUCUGCAUUAAACAAUAAUAGCAUAGCACGUAUUAGGGUUAUAUGACUUUGAUGUAGUCAAACAUCAUUUGAGUGAUAUGACAGAAGUGGACGAUAGAAGUGAUAUGCAGGAUCAUUUAAAAAAAUGAUAUGCAGGAUUACUACUAACAAGCAGUCAAUAAUAAAUAUAUUCCUGGAAAGUCAGCGGUACCCACCAAUAAGAUGUAAUCAUGGUCAAAGAUGUAAUCAUGGUCAAAGGAAUUCCAAAUUACGUGCUAAAAACCUACGUACAUGGGUGGAUAGUGUGUGAACAUAAAUAACCAGCAUAUAAUUUUGAAGAUUGGGUUCUGAAUUAAGAAACCGGAGUUAUUGAUUACUGGUAUUGUCAACGUCGGCGGAGGGUGGUUGGGAUAUGCGGGACAACAAAGCAUGCAUGAAGAGAAAAACAGUUAAGACUUUAGCCAGUAAACAGUUAGUGACUCUAAAAAAACAAGUAUGCUCCACACAUAUAUUAAUUGAUACAUUUAGUUGAUUAAUCAUUGAUGACAUCGAGGAGUAAAGAGCUUGGGUUUGUUAAACUCUUGUUUCCACAUCUGUUACCUUUGCACUCAAACUUUUUACAUCAUUGCUAACUGUCUCCUGCAAAUGUCAAGAGUUUCAAUGAUUAAUAAAUGUUAAGCAAAAAAGGGUGGUUGGGAUAUGCGGGACAACAAAGCCUGCAUGAAGAGAAAAACAGUUAAGACAUUAGCUAGUAAAUAGCUAGUGAUUCUAAAAAAAAAGUAUGCUCCACACAUACAUUGACUGAUACAUUUAGUUGAUUAAUCAUUGAUGACAUCGAGGAGCAAAGAGCUUGGGUUUGUUGAACUCCAA
Molecule: RNA transcript, 4427 nt
Organism: Panicum hallii
Lineage: Eukaryota; Viridiplantae; Streptophyta; Magnoliopsida; Poales; Poaceae
Exons: 4
Source: RefSeq, a predicted model, not a curated record